UAACAUUACACGAGUCCGAGAGCCUAACAUAAAAUAGCUCAGUCCAUGAUUCCUCCACACCGAGUUCACCCAAAAGUGAUAUGUAAAAAGAAGUUGACUGCCCGUAAUAUUGGAUCAAAGCAAUGAACCCAUUUAACGUCACCAAUUGACACUGCACCACAUAAUCAAGAAAUUCAUUAUGCAGGUCAGAGGGCAUGGGUGUUUUAAAAAACACCUCAUUAAUCACAUCAAACGACACCAAAUACGCAUUAUAACAGCAUUCACGAUGCGAUUCUCCUUGAGUCCACCAGUGACACAUUCCGUCCAAAUAAAAUCGGACAAUUUCUACAUCAGUAGCAGGGACCUUCAACAUAGGCAUUUCCAUAUUAAGUGUCCUCCAAGAGUUGCUACUUAAACUAUAUAUCUCCCAUACCGGGUCAGUAGGCACCGUAUCCGCCGGAAUUGUAUAAUCUUCAUAAACAAGAUCUUUAGUUUUAAACCGUACAUAUCGAAUCAACUUAUAAUCAUCCCUAACAUAGUCAUAACCAAAUCCAUGAAUCUGUGGUUUACAAUACCUAUAACGGGUCACAGACUCAACAGGGCUAGGAGGAACGACCUUCAAUUCGUCGGUAGCAGGGUUCCACAAUACAACUUUUCUCUCUUUAACAUCCUCACUGGUGACACAAAGAAUGCCAUUAAUACUAACGGAACCAACAAUAAUAAGAUUUUUCCCUAACUCUUUAGUUGGAAGUGAUGCAUUGAAUAUAACUUUAUUCUCAAACCUUUCAUUAGAAACAAAAUACAAAAAAGUUUCCGCUUUGGUGUAAUCAUCAGGUAAAGGCACCAUUUGCCGUAAGACGAGAGAUGCAGUGUCAUCAUCAUCAUGAUCAGAAUGAUUUCUAUGUAUGAUACGAUUUUGAUACAUUUUCAUGAAAUAAGGGUUUUUGAGUAACAUUGACCAUGAUUUAGAUACACAUUCAAAUCGUUUCAAAGAUUUUAGAGAGAGUUUUGAUAGAAUUGAAAAUUCAACAUCAUCAGGUAUGUGUAUGGUGCUAACCUUUUUGGUCGUCGGAGUGAAAGAUUUCUCCAUCAAUGAUGGCGGCGCGUGUCUUCCGGUGGCAAGCAGAAGUGAAGGAGAUUCAGAGAAGAGCACGCUUUCAGCGGUAGAACAAGAUCACUUAUUAUUUCCAAUCUUUGGUAAUUUAAUUUAAUUUGAAAAUGAAAACCCUAAUUCCCUUUUUGGAACCCUAAUCCCGCCAUUCCCUUCCCUCCCUAAUCUAUUUUGAAUUCCGUGUGGGGCCCUAUUAUCUUAUCCUAAUAAAUGAGGUUAAUGGAAAAGAUUGUGAAAAAUAGACUCUUGCAUUAAUGUACUAUUAAAUAUUUUUAUUGAAUUAAGACUUUCAAUUGAUUAAGUGAUCAAAGUUAAAAGAUUAUUGAAUUUUUAUUUAAAAUUAAUUAAUUGAAUUUAGGCUUUGGGCCAUCGCUAUAUAUAAAGCUCUGGUCUCUAAUACAUCGUACGUAAUCAAACACACUCUUCUCGCCAUCUAAAGGGAAUCAAUGUAUUAUGGUACCGGUUGAAGAAGAACCAAACUAGUUGUCAUCUCUUUGUGUUUCAGGAUCACACUGCAAAUGACACUUUUUUUUUUCAUGAAUCCAGGUAUUCUUAAAGUUCAACUUGUCGGUCCUAUAAUUUUAUGCAUGCUUAAUGACUAUUUUGGUUUUCAUGUUCAAGUAUAUGUCAUAAUUUUCUUUUUUGACAAAAAUAUAUGUCAUGGUAUGUUGAGCUAUGUAUAUGUGAUUAAUCUUUAUUGAUUUAAUUAUAUCAAAUGAUUGGUACGGAUUAAUACUUUGUAUUAAAAUCGGGACUUGAGUCCAAUGAAAAAUAUCACUCUUUGUAAAAUAUAGUCCUUUUAUUUUUAAAAAAGAAACUCUAACGAGGUCUUAUCUUUUAAGAAAUGUGGAAUUUGGUUUAACAAUACACCCCUCACGUCCAACACUAUUAGAUUUGUUAAAACAUUAUUAAUGGACUUUUUUUUAUAAAAAAAAACAUUAACGGACUUGGUCACUUUCAAUUGAAUCUUUUAAAGUGUCUUUUAACAAAAGACAAAUUAAAUUAACCGUGAAACUUUUUAUUUUAUUAAAUGAAUCUGACAAUUCUUAAAAGGAGAAUGUUAACUUGUGCCCUUAAGGGCACAUGUUAAGGAAACAAAUAUAGAAAUUAUUUCCGGAAACUUGUGCAUUUUUACUUUUAUGCAUUAAAUUUCUUACAUUAUUAAAUGCAUUAUUUCUAUAUUAGGAUACCUUAUCAUGUGCCCUUAGGGCACAAGUUAACAUAACCGUUCUUAAAAACAAAGCCUUCACUGCAAAUGCUAGCCGCUAAAUAAAUUACCAACAAGAAUUGAAGCUCUAUAAUCAUCGCUUAACACACGGUGGUUGCAAAUUGCAAUUACCAGAUAGACACAUCUUCGGAGAUGGAGAAAUCUGUGACUCUGACGAUUAUGGGAAAGGUUAGCAAACAUAUACCAGAUGAUAUUUUAUUCUCCAUUCUAUCAAAACUUUCUUUAAAAUCUUUGAACCGAUUUAAAUGUGUAUCUAAAUCAUGGUCAAUGUUAUUUAAAAACCCUUAUUUCAUGAGAAUCUACCGAGAUCAUAUCAUACAUAGAAACCAUUCUGAUCAUGAUGAUAACGAUGAUGCAUCUCUUAUCUUACGCCAUAUUGUACAAGCUCCUCGUGAAUUGCAGAUUUCUUUGUAUUUGGUUUCUGGUGACAACUUUGAAAACAAGGUCAAAUUAGACACACCACUUCCAUCUCAAGAGCUAGGUCAAAAAAUUAUAAUUGUGGGUAUUGUUAGUAUCAAUGGCAUUCUUUGUUUAACCAGUAUGGUUGUUGCAGAUAGAAAAGUUGUAUUGUGGAACCCUGCUACCGACGAAUUGAAGGUCAUUCCUCCUAGCCCUGUUGAGUAUAUUACCUCUUUUAGGAUUUUUUUUUUACCGCAAAUUCAUGGAUUUGGUUAUGACGGUGUUAAGGAUGACUACAAGGUGCUUCGUUAUGUACAAUAUAACCAAUUUGGUAUAUCAUAUGAACAUGUGAGAUGGAAUAAGAGAUCUUAUGAGCCUUCAUGGGAGAUAUAUAGAGAAGUAACUCGUGGAGGAAACUUGAUAUUAAAAUGCCUAUGUUGAUGGUAUCUUUUGCUGAUGUAGAAAUUGUCCGAUUUUACAUGGAUGAAUGUGCCACGGGUGGACUCAAGAUCCACCAUGGAGUGAAGAUACUUAUGAAGCAUAUUUGGUGUCGUUUGAUGUGAGUAAUGAGGUGUUUUUUACAACACCCAUUGCCGAUGAUAGUUUUGAUCUUGGAUUGGUGGAGAGUCAUUUGGUGAUGUUAAAUAGGUACAUUACUUUGAUCUCAUAUUAUGGGGAGACUGCUACUUUUUACACAUCAAUUUUAGGUGAAAUUGGUGUGAAGGAAUCCUAAACUAAACUCUUUAUUGUUGGGUCCAUGUCUAUUGUUGAGCGUCCCAUUGGAGCGGGGAAGAAAGGAAAUAUACUUUUCAUGAAAAAAGAUGGAGAGCUGGCCUACUUUGAUUUGGAUACCCAGAUGAUUGUUGAGCUUGGCUUCGAAGGAAAUAUGUGUCAAUGUUAAAUGGUAAUUUAUAAGGAAAGUCUUAUUUCCAUUAAAGGAAUAGAGAAUUAAUUAUUUUUCGUUUCUAUCGAAGAGAAUCAUUAAUGUACUUUUUAGGAUUUUACCUUCUAUACAAAGUGGCGUGCCAAUCGCACAUAUCAUAAUUAUUAUCUAGUAUGAAACAGAUUAAGAAACCAUUUGAUUAUAUGAAUGUUGCUUUAUCAAAUUUAUUUUGAAGGUUUACUCUCUUUCUACAAACUGACUGACGUGCUUUGUAUUUUAAUUCAAAUGUAAAAUAUUGUCUUUACUGAAUGGCUUAUAACUUGAUACUCAAAUGAGAAACAUAUUUUUGUUUAUGUCACUAUGUUUAAUUUUGUACUUGUAAAUUGGUCUUAGGGUGUGUUUGGAUAAAGUAAUGUUUUGAGGGAUUCAAAUGAUUUGAGGUGAAUUCCAUUGUUUGGAUGAUAAUUUGAAAAUUUUUCAAAAUGAUAGAAAUUUAUGAAGUAUUUUUGUUCAAGUUAAAUUUAGAGAAUUUCAAAAUGACACAUAAAACCAAACAAUUUAAAAUUCAUUCUUCUCUGUAAACUUUUAAAAAUUAUUAAUUGAUCGAAAAACUUAAAAUUAGCCGAAAAACCUAAAAUCGACGAUAAACGCUAAAAUCGGCCAAAAUCUAAAAAUCGACUAUAAACCAUAAAAUCGACCGAAAACCCAAAAAAUCGCUAGAAGAACCUAGCCAAAAACCUAAAAUCGACAAUAAACCCUACAAUUGGCCGAGAAUCCAAAAAAUAUGCCGAAAAACCUAAAUUCAACCCUAAACACAAAAAACUCAGUCGAAAACCUAAAAUCGGCCAAAAUCCCAAAAAUCGACUAUAAACCCUAAAAUCGGCCGAAAACCAAAAAAAUCGGCUGAAAAACCAAAAAUCUACCGACAACCCAAAAAUCGACUAUAAACCGUAAAAUCAACCGAAAACCCAAAAAAUCGGUCAAAAAACCUAAAAUCGGCCGAAAAACAUAAAAUCGUCCCUAAACCCAAAAAACUCGGCCGAAAACCUAAAAUCGACCAAAAAUCAUAAAAUCGGCCGAAAACCCUAAAAUCUACUAUAAACCCAGUUUUCGGCCGAUUUUAGGGUUUAUAGUCGAUUUUUUGAAUUUUGGCCGAUUUUAGGUGUUUCGGUCGAUUUUAGGCUUUUUAGUCGAUUUUAGGGUUUUUGUCCGAUUUNNNNNNNNNNNNNNNNNNNUUAUAGUUGAUUUUAGGGUUUUUGGCCGAUUUUAGGUUUUUCAGCCGAUUUUUUGGGUUUAGUCUCGAUUUUAGGUUUUUGGCCGAUUUUUUGGGUUAUCGGUCGAUUUUAGGGUUUUUGGCCGAUUUUACGUUUUUCGGCCAAUAUUUUGUGUUUAUUGUCGAUUUUUUGGGUUUUCGGCUGAUUUUUCGAGUUUCAGGUUGAUUUUUUGGGUUUUCGGCCGAAUUUUUGAGUUUCAAGUUAUUUUUUGGUUUACGGUUAAUUUUAGGUUUUCAGUUUUCUUUUUUAUCUUUGUUUACUCUCUCUUUAUCAUUGCCGANNNNNNNNNNNNNNNNNNNNNNNNNNNNNNNAUCAUAAUGGCAUUGUUAUCUCUGCUACCGAUGAUGAACCCAUUUUCAUGUCCUCCUCCGUCACCACCGCAGAUAGUGAUUUGGUCGUCGUUUGCUUGUGCCAUGUAUCAUUCGCCUUCGAUCAUGAUCUCAUCUUCUGCUUAUGUUCUGUUUUAGCAGAUCNNNNNNNNNNNNCGAUAUGUUUUCAUCGGAAGCAUGCAUUACUCCGUUGGCCACAUGGUGUUUGUAUGACCGGGUAGCCGAAACUUGGCCACAUGGUUUUUGUAUGAUCGGGUACAAGCCAUGCAAAUAUUCAGUUCCCAACUAUUUUUCAGUGCAUGGCCUUUGGGCCUCCAACAUAGUUGGGCAGGAUCCAGAACACUGUUCGACAAAAUACUUUAAUAUUGCUAAGAUAAGUUUUUUAUUUUAAUAAUCCCCUUUUCUUACCCACAAGGUUAAGAUCUGAAGAUUCAAAAGGCAAUCAAUAACUUAUAAACCGGAACAAUUUGUAAGAGAUUUCUGAACCAAUUUUAUUAAACCCAGAAAUAUAAAUUGUUAAAUUGUGGAACAAAUUUGUUUAAUCAAAAAAUGCAACCAAAACUUUCAAACGGGAACAAUUUGAAUUUCUUUUUUCCGGAACUUGCAAUUUGAUAUACUAAGCUGACUCCUUCAAUUUGAUCUCUCUCAUUUUUUUUCUUCUUUCUAUCAUCUCUUCAUGUUGUCGCUUUCCAUUUCUCUUCCUUCUCAGUAUUCUCUUCUUAUUCAUAAAUUAAUUGAUUAAUAAUUAAAACUGAUAAAGAAAGAGAAGGUGAGCAGUUUGAAAGCUAUAGGUGGUGGGAACCUUCGGUUUAACAAGAAGAAGAAAUCAUAACUUAAAGCCAUUUUUCAAUUUUUGUGAUAUAUACUUUUGUUUACCGGAAAACAUAACUUAAAGUUUUUCGAAAAAUUCAUUCGAUGUCUGAAAAAAUUUACAUACCGGAACAUUCCGUGGAAAAAAUUUACACACCGGAACAUUUCGUGGGGUGAGAAGCCAAAUGAUAAAAGGAGUAAAUUUGAAAUUUUUUAAUGUUUGAAGGGGUAAAGGUAUAAUUGUUGGGGUAGAAAAAAAAAUUCCGCCACAUUUUUGAGUGGUUUUGGCUUAAAAAAAUAUAGCUUAAAUAAAAUUGAGCCUUUUGGUCUUAGCCCAUUAAGUCAAUAUAAAAAUCGAGUUAAGUCGGGUUAUCUCAUUGGAGGGUCGAUCCACGCUAUCAACAUUUUUAUGUGAUGUAUUAAUUAAAACAUAAAAAAUUACUAUCUAAUUGAAGAAUUAUUAAGAAAAGUAUAUUUAAACAUGUAAACUUAAUAAAAGGAUAUAUUUAGCUAAAAAAGGUUAAAAAUUGUAAGGUUAUAAAUAAUUUGGUUCAACUUUUUCUUAAUGGAACUAAAUUAGAGUUUAAUUAAUAUUUAGAGUUAACAUAAAAAUUAUUAUGCCACUUUCGAUAGGCUAAUCUAUACAGAGUAAAAAAAAAAGUUUUAAAUAGAGUCCUCGUAAACAAACGAUAUGAUUGAUCCCCUAAGAUUAGUCGGUUAUUGGGCCAGGUAUCAAAUUUUUUAAGAAAAUAUACAUAAAUUUUAAGAAAUUAAUAUAUCAAAGCAACAUAAAAAAACAAACAAGAGUGAAUAAAAUGAGUAAAAGAAAUAAAUGGACUGGGAUGUCCGCUAACCAUAUGGCCCACAUAGGGAUUAGUGUGUAGCCAUUUGAAUUUGACAUGACUAUUACUUUUGCCAUCCUAUCGGUUACUCACGCGCUCUACAACUUUUCCAUUUUACCCUUCAAUUAUUUAAGUAGCGGAUCUUAUAAAAAUAUUUUUUUAUUUAAAAUGUCGUCCGCUACUUAAAUAGCGGAUAAUGUAUUUUGAUAGUUUCGUAAAACGCUUGAGAAAUGUAUUAGGUUGGUAAAAGUAAGAGUGUUUGACAUGAACAAUUUGAUCCAUGUAUAUUGUAUACAAGCCCUUCAGGCCGGACUUUCUUUUAUAUUGUAUAUUGUAUAAAAGUCAAUAUCCUUUUAUCUUUUAUUUUCUUUAUAUUUUAUAUAUGCGUACUUAAACAUAAUUUAUUUAGUGUUAGUAUAUUAAUAAUUUCUAAAAGAUCUUUGAAAUAAAAAUGCUAUGCUAAGCCAACGUACAAUUAUAUAGGUUGGGUUUUGGAGUUCUGGUCAUUGUAUUGAUUUUCAUUGUAUUGGUUUUUCUAUUAUAUGGUUGGUCUGUUGCCAAGCUUGUACUACUGCCAAUAUUUGGCCUGUUGCUAAGCCGGUCUUUACACGCUAAAUAUUUCAAAAAGGAUUUUAUUUUUUUGACUUAAAAAAGGAAAUAAUUUUGAAAUGUUUUUUAUUAGUUAGUUUUAUAUAAAUUUCACUAUAACAUAGAUUUCUUCAAUGUAACCAAUAUGUAAUCUUAUAUAUGAAGAGUAUUGUGUCUUAGGCUCUCAUUAAUCGGUAUUAUUUCAUAUUGUGCAGAAAGCACCAACUUUCAACUAUUAUAUUCUAGCCGAAACUUGACCACAUGGUUUUUGUAUGACCGGGUACAAGCCAUGCAAAUCUUCAGUUCCUAACUAUUUUUCAGUGCAUGGCCUUUGGACCUCCAACUUUGUUGGGCACCAUCCAGAACAUUGUUCGACAAAACAGCUCAAGAUUGCUAAGGUAAGUUUUUUAUUUUAAAUUGUUUAAAUUAUGCGUAAGGCGAUGUCAAUAUAUAAUCUUUGAUGCUUCAAAAAAAAUAUCUUUGAAUAUAUUGAAAUUUCAAACACAUCUAUAUGAAUAUAUCUUUUAUUAAUUUAGUACAUAAAAUUACUAAUAGAAAAAACAUGUCUUUAUAAUUUGGAUUUGGCUUAAUCGCAUAUUUGAUCCUUAUCUUUAUUUUAGAUUUCAAGUUGGUCCUAUAUGUUUUAAAAGUUUCAAUUUGGUCCCUUAAGUUGGUCCUUUUUUAUUAAAUUUUGAGUUAAUUUUGUCUAAAAUUUCCACUUGACACCCACAUAAGUUGUCCACGUAUGCAAAUUUGUUAGUUACAUUGAUGAUUUAAACCGAAAUUUGUAUAAAACGACUAAAUUGAAACUUUUUAAACUUAAGGGACCAAAUUAAAACCUAAAAUAAACAUAAAUGACCAAAUAUAUAAUUAAUCCUUUGGAUUUUGAUACAUUAUUUAUGGAAUAACCUCCCACACAUUUAGGACAAAACAUGCUCAAAUUUAUUCAGGCCUCGUUCACUUUACGAAACAAUUUUUAAGCUUUGUGUUAAUUGUACUUGCCAACAAUAAUAAAUAAACUUGGUUUCAUUAUUUCUAUAAACUUAGUGUAUAUUUGUCUUAUAGAUUUCAAGUUUGAACUCUGAUUUGAAGAUAGGAUGGCCCAACAUUGUUUUAAAUCAAAAAGAUAAAAAAAAUUGGAAAAAUGAAUGGUAUAAACAUGGAACUGGUAUUUGAUUAUUUUCAACUCACCUUGAACCUGUAUUACACCCACAAUCUAACACACCCACAAUCUAACAUCAAUACUAGAAGCAAAUGGUAUUAAUGCAGGAGCCUAUUACGACACGGUGAGGAUUGAGAAUGUUAUAAAAGCUAGUACAGGUGUUAUGCCAAGGUGGAUUUGUGAGUUUAACAACUUACUAGUUGAAAUUCACUUGUGUUUGGAUAACACGGCGCAAGUUUAUAUAUCAUGUCCUCGUUCUUCUAAAAUUAAAUGUUUACCUCAAGUGUUUUUAGCAUAGCUUUGGUGUUUCAAUCUUUCACUUUGAUACACGUAUUUUGUAUGAGAAUUUUUCCACAAAUCCAUUGACAAUUGUGCAGAAUGAUUUUCAUUUUUGAAGGUUUACUCUUUCUAUUUACACACUGAUGUUGUUUGUAUUUUAAUAUCGUUGUAAGAAAGAUUGGCUUUAUUGAAUGAUUUCCAAUUUUAUGCAGAAUUAGCUUAUGUUUAGGAAACUCGAUACUCUAAUGAGUAACAUAUUUCUGUUUAUGUCACUAUGUUUAAUUUUGUGCUGGUAAACUUAUCUUCCUUUGCAGUCCAAAAAAAUGGUAUUCUCUCACAAGAUUGAUACUUAAACUAUCACAUGCGAAAGUUUUUUUUUUUUUGAAUCGGAAAAAUUUUAUUGAAGCUUCCUCCGAUACAAGAGAUAUUAGAGGAGCAUGAGAAAAGGUAAAAAAUACCAUACAACAACAGUACCAAGUCUCCUACUACAAGAACAACCUUAAAACUACAAAGCCCCUCUUUGCAACAAAAUAAAGACACACACGCCCAAAAAAACAAGAGUACAAAGAGAGGCCGAGACAUGGUAAGACAACACCCCAACCACAAGGCCACCUUGGAAAUCAACGAAGGAGACAAGCUCCCGGGUCCCAAGUACAUUCAUAAAACAUAUAAGGAGACAUUUUCACUCUAGCUAAGAACCAUUUUCAGCUCAACACUUUGAUAUCCUCAACACUAGCCUUAGGAUGGAAAUGGAACGAACCAUUCGCAAAAAAAAUUUAUUCCGCACCUUCCAAAUACACCAAAGAGUUGCAUGUCAAAUCAUCAAGAAUCCUAGGCGGGUCUUCUUAUUCCUCACGGAUCCCCUCAUAAUCUCGAAGAGCAACAACAAGGAAGGAGGGGUCACAAUAAUCACGCCAAGCCACCGAAANNNNNNNNNNNNNNNNNNNNNNNNNNNNNNNNNNNNNNNNNNNNNNNNNNNNNNNNNNNNNNNNNNNNNNNNNNNNNNNNNACCCUACACACUCCCAAGGCAUAUCCAAGCUUAACAACCCUCGAACCUCAAGGUUCCUUCUAGUCGGAAUCCGAUCAUAAAGUAAUUGCCAACAAAAAGUAACAACUUUUGAGGGAGCCGGACUAUCCCAUAUUUAGACCAAUAUGCAUUUGCAAAAUAAACUAAUACCUGAUACACUGUGUCAUUUCGCGACAAACUCAAGAUGACUAAAAAUGUGAACUUAUAUGCACCGUCAAUUUGUCUAAGAGUGCAAACUUAAAGGAGUGAGUGAUCCAAAACUUUUAUGAGAAUAAAAAGAUAUCCUGCUACAUAUGCUUGGAUCUGGUAUAGCAGAACUAGAUUGUGACUCAAAACAUGAAUGCUUUUAUCAUCGAAAUGUAAUAGUUUGUAAUUAUCAUAUGACCACACAAAUUGCAUGUGACAAAAUAACAUAUAGAUGCUACUGCUACCAAACGAAGAUAAGUUUACAAGCACAGAAUUAAACAUAGUGGCAUCAACAGAAAUAUGUUUCUCAUUAGAGUAUCAAGUUUUCUAAGCAUAAGCUAAUGCUACAUAAAAUUGGAAAUCAUUCAGUCAAGCCAAAAUAUCUUUCUUACAACUAUAUUAAAAUACAAACUAGAUCAAUUUCUAAAUAGAAACAAAGAAAACCUUCAAAAUAAAUUUGAUAAAGCAAGAUUCUUACUAUCAAAUGGUUUCUUAAUUUGAUAAUGCCACUUCAUAUGGAAGGUAAAAUACUAAGAACCGCGUUAAAAGACCACUUGCAUGAAAACAAGAAAAAUAAGUCAUUAUCAAUUCCUCAAAUUGAAAGAAGGCUUUCCUUAUAAAUUGCCAUCUGACAUAAAAAUCCUUUGACACCAAGCUCAUCAAUCCUCUGGGUAUCCAAAUCAAAGCAGACCAGCUCGCUAUAUAGAUAAGAAGAUUCUAGUUCGCUAUCUAGUUCAGAAUCGUAAUCAUAUUUCAUAAAAUAUAUAUUGCCUUUCCUCCACACUCCAAUGGGACGCUUAAUAUUACACGAGUCCGAGAGCCUGACUUAAAAUACCUUAGUCCAUGAUUCCUCCACACCAAGUUCACCCAAAAGUGAUAUGUAAAAAGAAGUUGACUCCCAGUAAUAUUGGAUCAACGCAAUGUACCCGUUUAACGUCACUAAUUGACACUGCACCACAUAAUCACGGAAUUCAUUAUCCAGGUCAGAGGGCAUGGGUGUUUUAAAAAACACCUCAUUAAUCACAUCAAACGACACCAAAUACACAUUAUAACAGCAUUCACAAUGUGAUUCUCCUUGAGUCCACCAGUGACACAUUCCAUCCAGGUAAAAUCGGACAAUUUCUACAUUAGAAGAAAUGACCUUCAAUAUAGGCAUUUGGUAGAUUAAAGACAGGGACUCCAACACUCUUUUUUUCAUCAGAGUAUUAACAACAGAAGACGUAGGAACCAUUUGGAAUCUAUCCAAAUGCAUGAAAGGUGGUUAUCUGAAGUUGGCAAAAUAAAGGAAGCGGUAAAAAUUCCUUUUGAAUUGAACUUUGCUGAAAGGUUACCUACUAGACCAUUUUCUAGUUGUUUCAGCUGUCCUUGGUUUAUAUAUAUUGUAUACGAGAUAGAGAAGAAAAAGUGCAAAUUAUAAGAUACUUUUUAAUGUGCUUUUAUGCAAGCUCUCAGCACACAGUUGUCAUCGAGAACCUUCUAUUGUCAAACCUUUUCAGGUAACAUUUGUCAAACCUUCUACACUAAAGAACUUUCUGAUUUAUCAAAAGUAAAAAAAGAACUUUCUGAAAGAGCUUAUGCUUUACCUUCUCGGUUGAAGAACCUACUCGUUUAUCAUAACCUGUUCCACAAAUGCUUAUUGAAAGCACUUUAUAAUUCAUGUGCAACGAAUCAAGGAUUUAAAUUUUGAAUGUGCUCAUCCGCUUUGUAUUGCUUUGUAUAGGCUGCGCCGAGGAAAUGGAAUGCUUUGUUUCUGCUCCUGAUCUACUAAGAAUUCAAGUAGUUGGUGGAACGAAACUUGUAGCUUAAGGCUACCAUAGAUGACAGAAUUCAAGUGGUUGAGGGAAUGCUAACUCUGCUGAGAAUUCAAGUAGUUGAGGUGCUGCCAGCCAAACAAGACCCAAGUAAAAUACUAAUGAUACUCUGCAGAAUGUAUACAAUUUCUCCUUUAUACUGAAAACCUUUAAGGGUCAUAUAUGUUAGGGGACAAUUUCUCAUUACACCUUCUUUGACAGCCAACAUAACAGUAAUCUAUUGUACUAAUCUAAUUUUUAUGAGAAUCUAGCUCACCCUAGAUGCUAUCAAUAAAUAAACCAAGUAGGAUUUAUUGGACAGGAUUGUGGCAUGGACCUUUUUAUGAGAAUAUUUGGUUUUGUUAAAUUGUUGAAUUUCAUUUUGAAAUGAUGCAGAUGAAACCUUUUAUGCCACACAUACAUAUUCUCUGUGCUACAUAAAUACUUUUGCUCAUUCCCAAAUUAAUUACACAGAUUUUGUAUACAAUUCAAUCACUUUCGCAUGUGAUAGAUUCGGUAUCAAUCUUGUGAGAGAAUACUAAUUUUUUGGACUGCAAAGGAAGAUAAGUUUACAAGCACAAAAUUAAACAUAGUUGCAUAAACAGAAAUAUGUUACUCAUUAGAGUAUCAAGUUUCCUAAACAUAAGCUAAUGCUACAUAAAAUUGGAAAUCAUUCAGUAAAGGCAAAAUAUCUUUCUUACAACUAUAUUAAAAUACAAACUAGAUCAGUUUGUAAAUAGAAAUAGAGUAAACCUUCAAAAUAAAUUUGAUAAAGCAAGAUUCUUACUAACACAUGGUUUCUUAAUUUGAUAAAGCCACUUCGUAUGGAAGGUAAAAUACCAAGAACCGCGUCAAAAGACCACUUGCAUGAAAACAAGAAAAAUAAGUCAUUAUCAAUUCCUCAAAUUGAAAGAAGGCUUUCCUUAUAAAUUGCCAUCUGACAUAAAAAUCCUUUGACACCAAGCUCAUCAAUCCUCUGGGUAUCCAAAUCAAAGCAGACCAGUUCGCUAUAUAGAUAAGAAGAUUCUAGUUCGCUAUCUAGCUCGGAAUCGUAAUCAUAUUUCAUAAAAUAUAUAUUGCCUUUCCUCCCCACUCCAAUGGGACGCUUAAUAUUACACGAGUCCGAGAGCCNNNNNNNNNNNNNNNNNNNNNNNNNNNNNNNNNNNNNNNNNNNNNNNNNNNNNNNNNNNNNNNNNNNNNNNNNNNNNNNNNNNNNNNNNNNNNNNNNNNNNNNNNNNNNNNNNNNNNNNNNNNNNNNNNNNNNNNNNNNNNNNNNNNNNNNNNNNNNNNNNNNNNNNNNNNNNNNNNNNNGGGACGCUUAAUAUUACACGAGUCCGAGAGCCUAACAUAAAAUACCUUAGUCCAUGAUUCCUCCGCACCGAGUUCACCCAAAAGUGAUAUGUGAAAAGAAGUUGACUCCCAGUAAUAUUGGAUCAAAGCAAUGUACCCAUUUAACGUCACCAAUUGACACUGCACCACAUAAUCACGGAAUUCAUUAUCCAGGUCAGAGGGCAUGGGUGUUUUAAAAAACACCUCAUUAAUCACAUCAAAUGACACCAAAUAUGCAUUAUAACAGCAUUCACGAUGCGAUUCUCCUUGAGUCCACCAGUGACACAUUCCAUCCAGGUAAAAUCGGACAAUUUCUACAUUAGAAGAAAUGACCUUCAAUAUAGGCAUUUCCAUAUUAAGUGUCCUCCAAGAGUUGCUACUUAAACUAUAUAUCUCCCAAACCGGGUCAGUAGGCACCGUAUUCGCCGGAAUUGUAUAAUCUUCAUAAACAAGAUCUUUAGUUUUAAACCGUACAUAUCGAAUCAACUUAUAAUCAUCCCUAACAUAGUCAUAACCAAAUCCAUGAAUCUGCGGUUUGCAAUACCUAUAACGGGUCACAGACUCAACAGGGCUAGGAGGAAUGACCUUCAAUUCAUCGGUAGCAGGGUUCCACAAUACAACUUUUCUCUCUUUAACGUCCUUACUCGUUACACAAAGAAUGCCAUUAAUACUAACGGAACCAACAAUAAUAAGAUUUUUCCCUAACUCUUUAGUUGGAAGUGAUGCAUUGAAUAAAACCUUAUUCUCAAACCUUUCAUUAGAAACAGAAUACAAAAAGGAUUCGACGUUGACGUAAUCAGGUAAAGGCACCAUUUGCCGUAAGAUAAGAGAUGCAGUGUCAUCAUCAUCAUGAUCAGAAUGGUUUCUAUGUAUGAUAUGAUUUUGAUACAUUUUCAUGAAAUAAGGGUUUUUGAGUAACAUUGACCAUGAUUUAGAUACACAUUCAAAUCGUUUCAAAGAUUUUAGAGAGAGUUUUGAUAGAAUUGAAAAUUCAACAUCAUCAGGUAUUUGUAUGGUGCUAACCUUUUUGGUCGUCGGAGUGACAGAUUUCUCCAUCAAUGACGGCGGCGUGUGUCUUCCGGUGGGAAGCAGAAGUGAAGGAGAUUCAGAGAAGAAGAAGAGUCGUUAUUUCCAAUCUUUGGAAAUUUAUUAUGAAAA
This 14374-nucleotide long non-coding RNA is filed under the name Trifolium pratense (red clover). RNAcentral describes it as "long non-coding RNA (TPRA_LNC003445)". The record is from RNAcentral. Lineage: Eukaryota; Viridiplantae; Streptophyta; Magnoliopsida; Fabales; Fabaceae.